UAGCUAGUUGGUGAGGUAAAGGCUUACCAAGGCGACGAUCUGUAGCGGGUCUGAGAGGAUGAUCCGCCACACUGGAACUGAGACACGGUCCAGACUCCUACGGGAGGCAGCAGUGGGGAAUUUUGGACAAUGGGGGCAACCCUGAUCCAGCCAUGCCGCGUGAGUGAAGAAGGCCUUCGGGUUGUAAAGCUCUUUCGGCCGGGAAGAAAUCGCAUGGGCCAAUACCCUGUGUGGAUGACGGUACCGGAAUAAGAAGCACCGGCUAACUACGUGCCAGCAGCCGCGGUAAUACGUAGGGUGCGAGCGUUAAUCGGAAUUACUGGGCGUAAAGCGUGCGCAGGCGGUUUUGUAAGACAGGCGUAAAAUCCCCGGGCUUAACCUGGGAAUUGCGUUUGUGACUGCAAGGCUAGAGUACGGCAGAGGGGGGUGGAAUUCCACGUGUAGCAGUGAAAUGCGUAGAGAUGUGGAGGAACACCAAUGGCGAAGGCAGCCCCCUGGGUCGAUACUGACGCUCAUGCACGAAAGCGUGGGUAGCAAACAGGAUUAGAUACCCUGGUAGUCCACGCCCUAAACUAUGUCAACUAGGUGUUGGGUGGGUAAAACCAUUUAGUACCGUAGCUAACGCGUGAAGUUGACCGCCUGGGGAGUACGGCCGCAAGGUUAAGACUCAAAGGAAUUGACGGGGACCCGCACAAGCGGUGGAUGAUGUGGAUUAAUUCGAUGCAACGCGAAAAACCUUACCUACCCUUGACAUGCCAGGAACUUGCCAGAGAUGGCUUGGUGCCCGAAAGGGAGCCUGGACACAGGUGCUGCAUGGCUGUCGUCAGCUCGUGUCGUGAGAUGUUGGGUUAAGUCCCGCAACGAGCGCAACCCUUGUCGUUAAUUGCCAUCAUUUAGUUGGGCACUUUAACGAGACUGCCGGUGACAAACCGGAGGAAGGUGGGGAUGACGUCAAGUCCUCAUGGCCCUUAUGGGUAGGGCUUCACACGUCAUACAAUGGUCGGUACAAAGGGUUGCCAAGCCGCGAGGCGGAGCCAAUCCCAGAAAAGCCGAUCGUAGUCCGGAUUGCAGGCUGCAACUCGCCUGCAUGAAGUCGGAAUCGCUAGUAAUCGUGGAUCAGCAUGUCACGGUGAACACGUUCCCGGGUCUUGUACACACCGCCCGUCACACCAUGGGAGCGGGUUCCGCCAGAAGUAGGUAGCCUAACCGCAAGGGGGGCGCUUACCACGGCGGGGUUCGUGACUGGGGUGAAGUCGUAACAAGGUAGCCGUAGGGGAACCUGCGGCUG
RNAcentral lists this ribosomal RNA (1288 nucleotides) under metagenome. RNAcentral's name for it is "bacterial SSU rRNA". It matches the Rfam family "Bacterial small subunit ribosomal RNA", at positions 242 to 1520 of the family's 1533-position model. The record is from RNAcentral.